AAAAAAGUUAACAGAGCAGAAAUUGAGCAGGAAGGAGGAAGAAGAGGCUAUUCGGAGAUCAGAAGCUUUGGAGAAUGAUGGAAUUGAUACUUUGAGGAAAGUUUCAAGACAGGAGUAUUUAAAGAAAAGGGAGGAGAAGAAACUGGAAGAAAUCAGAGAUGAUAUAGAAGAUGAGCAAUAUCUUUUUGAAGGUGUGAAGCUUACUGAAGCAGAAUAUCGGGAGCUAAGGUAUAAGAAGGAAAUAUAUGAGCUUGU
Molecule: unclassified non-coding RNA, 255 nt
Filed under: Hevea brasiliensis (rubber tree)
Lineage: Eukaryota; Viridiplantae; Streptophyta; Magnoliopsida; Malpighiales; Euphorbiaceae
Source: RNAcentral